GCCGGGUGUGGUGGUGGGCACCUGUAGUCCCAGCUACUCGGGAGGCUGAGGCAGGAGAAUGGCAUGAACCCAGGAGGUGGAGCUUGCAGUGAGCCGAGAUCGCGCCACUGCACUCCAGCCUGGGUGACAGAGCCAGACUCUGUCUCAA
RNAcentral lists this non-coding RNA (148 nucleotides) under Gorilla gorilla gorilla (western lowland gorilla). The record is from Rfam by way of RNAcentral. Lineage: Eukaryota; Metazoa; Chordata; Mammalia; Primates; Hominidae.